This 394-nucleotide ribosomal RNA is filed under the name uncultured bacterium. RNAcentral describes it as "partial 16S ribosomal RNA". It matches the Rfam family "Bacterial small subunit ribosomal RNA", at positions 523 to 918 of the family's 1533-position model. The record is from RNAcentral.
ACACGUAGGGGGCGAGCGUUAUCCGGAAUUACUGGGCGUAAAGAGUGCGUAGGUGGCUUUGCAAGCGUAGGGUAUAAGGCGACAGCCCAACUGUCGUUGGCCCCGCGAACUGUAAGGCUUGAGUACAGGAGGGGAAGGCGGAAUUCCUAGUGUAGCGGGGAAAUGCGUAGAUAUUAGGAGGAACACCAGUGGCGAAGGCGGCCUUCUGGACUGUAACUGACACUGAGGCACGAAAGCGUGGGUAGCAAACAGGAUUAGAUACCCUGGUAGUCCACGCCGUAAGCGAUGAGCACUAGGUGUCGGGCUCGCAAGAGUUCGGUGCCGGAGCAAACGCAUUAAGUGCUCCGCCUGGGGAGUACGCACGCAAGUGUGAAACUCAAAUGAAUUGGCGGGG